Molecule: non-coding RNA, 380 nt
Organism: Actinomyces massiliensis F0489
Lineage: Bacteria; Bacillati; Actinomycetota; Actinomycetes; Actinomycetales; Actinomycetaceae
Rfam family: Bacterial RNase P class A
About the family: Ribonuclease P (RNase P) is a ubiquitous endoribonuclease, found in archaea, bacteria and eukarya as well as chloroplasts and mitochondria. Its best characterised activity is the generation of mature 5'-ends of tRNAs by cleaving the 5'-leader elements of precursor-tRNAs. Cellular RNase Ps are ribonucleoproteins.
Source: Rfam
CGAGCCGACCGGGCGGCCGCGGUACUCCUGGGGGACCGGGAGAUCGAGGAACGUCCGGGCUCCACAGAGCAGGGCGGUGGCUAACGGCCACCCGGGGCGACCCGCGGGACAGUGCCACAGAGAAUAGACCGCCUGUCGGGGAACCGGCUGGUAAGGGUGAAACGGUGGGGUAAGAGCCCACCAGCACCGCAGGUGACUGCGGUGGCUCGGCAAACCCCGCCCGGAGCAAGACCGCACAGCAGGCGCUUGAGGGCUGCUCGCCCGAGCCUGCGGGUAGGUCGCGUGAGCCCGCCGGCAACGGCGGGCCAAGAUGGAUGGUCGCCACCGCCGCCGGCGACGGUCGGCGGUAACAGAACCCGGCGUACAGGUCGGCUCGUUCG